RNAcentral lists this ribosomal RNA (482 nucleotides) under uncultured bacterium. RNAcentral's name for it is "partial 16S ribosomal RNA". It matches the Rfam family "Bacterial small subunit ribosomal RNA", at positions 28 to 523 of the family's 1533-position model. The record is from RNAcentral.
AGUGAACGUUGGCGGCGUGGAUUAGGCAUGCGAGUCGAGCGAGAACCGUAGCAAUACGGGGACAGCGGCGAAAGGGACAGUAAUAUGUAGGUACCUACCCUCGGGUCCGGGAUAGCUGCGGGAAACUGCAGGUAAUACCGGAUGACAUCUCCGGAUCAAAGGUGUGAUUCCGCCCGGGGAGGGGCCUGCAUCCUAUUAGCUUGUUGGUGGGGUAACGGCCUACCAAGGCGACGAUGGGUAGCGGGUGUGAGAGCAUGACCCGCGUCAUUGGGACUGAGACACUGCCCAGACACCUACGGGUGGCUGCAGUCGGGAAUCUUCGGCAAUGGGGGCAACCCUGACCGAGCGACGCCGCGUGCGGGAUGAAGGCCUUCGGGUUGUAAACCGCUGUCGUAGAGGAGGAAAUGCAGGGGGGUUCUCCCCUCUGUUUGACCUAUUCUAGGAGGAAGGACGGGCUAACUUCGUGCCAGCCGCCGCAGUAA